RNAcentral lists this ribosomal RNA (470 nucleotides) under uncultured bacterium. Its description in RNAcentral is "partial 16S ribosomal RNA". It matches the Rfam family "Bacterial small subunit ribosomal RNA", at positions 28 to 507 of the family's 1533-position model. The record is from RNAcentral.
GACGAACGCUGGCGGCGUGCUUAACACAUGCAAGUCGAACGCUGAAGCACCAGCUUGCUGGUGUGGAUGAGUGGCGAACGGGUGAGUAAUACGUGAGUAACCUGCCCUUGACUCUGGGAUAAGCCCGGGAAACUGGGUCUAAUACUGGAUGCUACAUGUCACCGCAUGGUGGUGUGUGGAAAGGGUUUACUGGUCUUGGAUGGGAUCACGGCCUAUCAGCUUGUUGGUGAGGUAAUGGCUCACCAAGGCGACGACGGGUAGCCGGCCUGAGAGGGUGACCGGCCACACUGGGACUGAGACACGGCCCAGACUCCUACGGGAGGCAGCAGGGGGGAAUAUUGCACAAUGGGCGAAAGCCUGAUGCAGCGACGCCGCGUGAGGGAUGACGGCCUUCGGGUUGUAAACCUCUUUCAGCAGGGAAGAAGCCACAAGUGACGGUACCUGCAGAAGAAGCGCCGGCUAACUACGUG